Molecule: ribosomal RNA, 373 nt
Filed under: uncultured organism
Description: partial 16S ribosomal RNA
Rfam family: Bacterial small subunit ribosomal RNA
Source: RNAcentral
GUAGGUGGCAAGCGUUGUCCGGAAUUAUUGGGCGUAAAGCGCGCGCAGGCGGUUUUUAAGGUCUGAUGUGAAAGCCCACGGGCUCAACCGUGGAGGGUCAUUGGAAACUGGAGAACUUGAGUACAGAAGAGGAAAGCGGAAUUCCACGUGUAGCGGUGAAAUGCGUAGAGAUGUGGAGGAACACCAGUGGCGAAGGCGGCUUUCUGGUCUGUAACUGACGCUGAGGCGCGAAAGCGUGGGGAGCAAACAGGAUUAGAUACCCUGGUAGUCCACGCCGUAAACGAUGAGUGCUAAGUGUUAGGGGGUUUCCGCCCCUUAGUGCUGCAGCUAACGCAUUAAGCACUCCGCCUGGGGAGUACGGCCGCAAAGGCUG